Molecule: long non-coding RNA, 551 nt
Organism: Bactrocera oleae (olive fruit fly)
Lineage: Eukaryota; Metazoa; Arthropoda; Insecta; Diptera; Tephritidae
Source: RefSeq, a predicted model, not a curated record
ACUAAGUUAUUUUUGCCAAAGUAAUUCAAUAAUGAACUAGUUCUAUAUAAAAUAUUAAGGCAGUACCUGCUGAUAUUAGUUCAAAUUCAUGUUUUCUAAUGUGCUAAUUAGUUUGCUUAACGUUUCAGUUAACUGAUUUCUUUUAACUUUUUUGGAUAUUAAUGUAAAUUACUUCUUCGUAUGUUUCAAUCAAGGACUCCGUCCGUCAUCCAAAAUGGGAAAUGUCGAUAAUGAAUCCUUAAUGAAUCUAACUUGCAUGUUUUCGUAAUAUAAGGCUGUGGAAAGGCUAUAGAUGACUACCCUCCAAUCCAAAAUUGUUAUGUAGACGGAGUACGCGCUAAUGCAGCUGACGUCAGGAUCAGAAACCUAUUGAUUAAAUAAAUGAAUCAGAUUAGUGAAUCGGUAAAAACUAUGCCAAGUCUUCUAACAAUGCAGCACUAUUUGCGUUACAAUACUACGCGUACAUGUCUUUUGACGCAAUACAGAAAGGAGUUCGAAUCGAGUAAAAUAUCUCUAUUUAUUAAAUAAUAAAAUAAUGAAUUAUAUCAUAA